This 684-nucleotide ribosomal RNA is filed under the name uncultured Methanomicrobiaceae archaeon. Its description in RNAcentral is "bacterial SSU rRNA". It matches the Rfam family "Archaeal small subunit ribosomal RNA", at positions 312 to 1000 of the family's 1478-position model. Lineage: Archaea; Methanobacteriati; Methanobacteriota; Methanomicrobia; Methanomicrobiales; Methanomicrobiaceae. The record is from RNAcentral.
GAAUCCAGGCCCUACGGGGCGCAGCAGGCGCGAAAACUUUACAAUGCGGGAAACCGUGAUAAGGGAACUCCGAGUGCCCGUAAAAUCGGGCUGUCCAUCUGUUUAAAUAACAGGUGAAGAAAGGGCCGGGCAAGACCGGUGCCAGCCGCCGCGGUAAUACCGGCGGCUCGAGUGGUGGCCACUAUUACUGGGCUUAAAGCGUUCGUAGCUGGUCUGUUAAGUCUCUGGGGAAAUCUACUGGCUUAACCAAUAGGCGUUUCAGGGAUACUGGCAGACUAGGGACCGGGAGAGGUGAGAGGUACUCCAGGGGUAGGAGUGAAAUCCUGUAAUCCUUGGGGGACCACCUGUGGCGAAGGCGUCUCACCAGAACGGCUCCGACAGUGAGGGACGAAAGCUGGGGGAGCAAACCGGAUUAGAUACCCGGGUAGUCCCAGCUGUAAACGAUGCGCGUUAGGUGUAUCGAUGACCACGAGUCAUCGAGGUGCCGAAGAGAAAUCGUGAAACGUGCCGCCUGGGAAGUACGGUCGCAAGGCUGAAACUUAAAGGAAUUGGCGGGGGAGCACCACAACAGGUGGAGCCUGCGGUUUAAUCGGACUCAACGCCGGAAAUCUCACCGGAUAAGACAGCUGUAUGAUAGUCGGGCUGAAGGCUCUACUUGACUAGCUGAGAGGAGGUGCAUGGCCA